ACUUCCAAUCCGUGAAAUUGACCUUCCCGUGAAGAGGCGGGAAUACGACAAUAAGACGAGAAGACCCUGUGGAGCUUUAAUUAAUCGACCCAAAGAGACCUUAAUAACCAACCGACAGGAACAACAGACCUCUGCCAUGGGCCGACAAUUUAGGUUGGGGUGACCUCGGAGAAUAAAACAACCUCCGAGUGAUUUAAAUCUAGACUAACCAGUCGAAAGUAUUACAUCACUUAUUGAUCCNAAAGCCUGAUCAACGGAACAAGUUACCCCAGGGAUAACAGCGCAAUCCUAUUUC
This 295-nucleotide ribosomal RNA is filed under the name Panthera tigris (tiger). RNAcentral's name for it is "partial 16S ribosomal RNA". It matches the Rfam family "Bacterial large subunit ribosomal RNA", at positions 2025 to 2494 of the family's 2925-position model. The record is from RNAcentral. Lineage: Eukaryota; Metazoa; Chordata; Mammalia; Carnivora; Felidae.